AUUGUGCCAGCGGCCGCGGUAACACGUAGGAGGCAAACGUUAUCCGGAUUUACUGGGCGUAAAGCGCGUGUAGGUGGUACUGUAAGUAGGGCGUGAAAGCUCCUGGCUCAACUGGGAGAGGCCGUUCUAAACUACAGAACUAGAGGAUGGUAGAGGGAGGUGGAAUUCCAGGUGUAGCGGUGGAAUGCGCAGAUAUCUGGAGGAACACCGGUGGCGAAGGCGGCCUCCUGGACCAUUCCUGACACUCAGACGCGAAAGCUAGGGUAGCAAACGGGAUUAGAGACCCCGGUAGUCCUAGCCCUAAACGAUGUAGACUAGGCGUCGGAAGUUUAAUCACUUUCGGUGUCCAGGCUAACGCGAUAAGUCUACCGCCUGGGGACUACGGCCGCAAGGUUAAAACUCAAAGGAAUUGACGGGUCCCCGCACAAGCAGCGGAGCGUGUGGUUUAAUUCGUUGCUACACGAAGAACCUUACCUGGGUUUGACAUAGCAGUGGUAGGGAAGCGAAAGCGGACCGACCCUUCGGGGAGCUGUUACAGGUGUUGCAUGGCUGUCGUCAGCUCGUGUCGUGAGAUGUUCGGUUAAGUCCGCUAACGAGCGCAACCCGCGUUGUGUGUUACAAGUGUCACACAAUACCGCCGGUAUUAAGUCGGAGGAAGGUGCGGAUGACGUCAAGUCAGCAUGACCUUUAUAUCCAGGGCUACACACACGCUACAAUGGUCGGCACAAUAGGUUGCCAAGUCGCGAGACGGAGCCAAUCCUCCAAAGCCGACCUCAGUUCAGAUUGCAGGCUGCAACUUGCCUGCAUGAAGUUGGAGUUGCUAGUAAACGCAGGUCAGCUAUACUGCGUUGAAUACGUUCCCGGGGAUUGUACACACCGCCCGUCAAGUCAUGGGAGCUGGCAACACCUGAAGCCGGUAUCCUAACCCGCAAGGGAGGGAGCUGUCAAAGGUGGGGUCGGUGACUGGGACUAAGUCGUAACAAGGUAACCAAU
Molecule: ribosomal RNA, 993 nt
Filed under: uncultured bacterium
Lineage: Bacteria
Description: bacterial SSU rRNA
Rfam family: Bacterial small subunit ribosomal RNA
Source: RNAcentral